Molecule: ribosomal RNA, 741 nt
Filed under: Triticum aestivum (bread wheat)
Lineage: Eukaryota; Viridiplantae; Streptophyta; Magnoliopsida; Poales; Poaceae
Description: partial small subunit ribosomal RNA
Source: RNAcentral
AUGGACGGCCAUGACAACCAAGACGACAUCGAUAACCAAGGCGACCGAUGGCAAGAAGACACAUACGGCCAAGAGGAAGAAGACAAUGUGGACAUCGAGGGGAAGCCUUUUAUGCAGAUGAGCUCACUACCCAAGACAAUGCACAAAAGAGGAGGCAGCAAAGCAUUCCGACGGAAGUAUACACAAAAGGAUAAGGAUAAGUUGAUUUGCAAAGGUUGGAAGGAAAUUGGACAAGAUCCCAAGAUUGGCGCCGAGCAAAAAGGAUCCCAAGUCAUUUGCCCAAAGUUUAGGGAGCAAUAUGCCGCCCAAAAAAGAAGAAUGGAGGGCCGGCGUCCAUCGUUGAGCAUGGUGAAGGAGAGAAUCGGCCGAGGGGGAAGAUCAACUCCAAGUUGGAUGACAAACGUGAUGCGGCGACAUUCGCCUUGCAAGAAAGUUUGCAAAGGGUUCAUGACCCAAAAGGAAGCAAGAGAGAAGAGGAAGCGCCAAGAGAGAAGAGAAGCAAAUGAAGGCCUACAUCAAGAUACAAAAGAAGAAACUCGAGAUCGAAGAGAACGUCCAAAAGAGGAAAGUCGAGAUCGAAGAGAACGUCCAAAAACAGAGAGCUUGAUAUCGAGGAGAGUCCAAAAGCAGAAGCUUGAGAUCGAGGAGAGCAUUGCAAACACAAAAGCAAAGGAUGUGAGGCUCAAGCUAAUGACGAAGGGAGUGGAGAUCAUGACGGUAGACUUGAGCAAGAUGUCCUAA